GGGGCCGUGGCGCAGGCUGGUAGCGCGCCCCGACAGCAUCGGGGAGGACGAGGGUUCGACCCCCUUCGGCUCCA
RNAcentral lists this transfer RNA (74 nucleotides) under Actinoalloteichus hoggarensis. RNAcentral describes it as "tRNA-Ala". It matches the Rfam family "tRNA". From Rfam's summary of the family: Transfer RNA (tRNA) molecules are approximately 80 nucleotides in length. Their secondary structure includes four short double-helical elements and three loops (D, anti-codon, and T loops). The record is from RNAcentral. Lineage: Bacteria; Bacillati; Actinomycetota; Actinomycetes; Pseudonocardiales; Pseudonocardiaceae.